This 440-nucleotide ribosomal RNA is filed under the name uncultured bacterium. RNAcentral describes it as "bacterial SSU rRNA". It matches the Rfam family "Bacterial small subunit ribosomal RNA", at positions 958 to 1398 of the family's 1533-position model. The record is from RNAcentral.
AACGCGAAGAACCUUACCUGGGCUUGAACCGCACAGGACCAUCUUUGGAAACAGAGACUUCCCGCAAGGGACCUGUGUAGAGGUGCUGCAUGGCUGUCGUCAGCUCGUGCCGUGAGGUGUUGGGUUAAGUCCCGCAACGAGCGCAACCCUUACUCAUAGUUGCUACCCGCAAGGGAGAACUCUAUGAGGACUGCUCCGGAUAACGGAGAGGAAGGUGGGGAUGAGGUCAAGUCAGCAUGGCCUUUAUGUCCAGGGCUACACACGUGUUACAAUGCGCGCCACAAAGCGUCGCGAACCCGCGAGGGGGAGCUAAUCGCAAAAAAGCGCGCUCAGUUCGGAUUGCAGUCUGCAACUCGACUGCAUGAAGCCGGAAUCGCUAGUAAUGGCGCAUCAGAACGGCGCCGUGAAUACGUUCCCGGGCCUUGUACACACCGCUCGUC